UACGGAGGGGGCAAGCGUUGUCCGGAAUCACUGGGCGUAAAGGGCGCGUAGGUGGCCUGAUAAGGGUGUGGUGAAAGUCCGGGGCUUAACCCCGGAUCUGCCGUGCCGACUGUUAGGCUAGAGUGCUGUAGGGGCAGGCGGAAUUCCUGGUGUAGCGGUGGAAUGCGCAGAUAUCAGGAGGAACACCCAUAGCGAAGGCAGCUUGCUGGGACGUUACUGACGCUAAGGCGCGAAAGCGUGGGGAGCGAACAGG
RNAcentral lists this ribosomal RNA (253 nucleotides) under uncultured bacterium. RNAcentral describes it as "partial 16S ribosomal RNA". It matches the Rfam family "Bacterial small subunit ribosomal RNA", at positions 524 to 776 of the family's 1533-position model. The record is from RNAcentral.